RNAcentral lists this ribosomal RNA (366 nucleotides) under uncultured eukaryote. RNAcentral's name for it is "bacterial SSU rRNA". It matches the Rfam family "Eukaryotic small subunit ribosomal RNA", at positions 592 to 943 of the family's 1831-position model. The record is from RNAcentral.
CAAUAGCGUAUAUUAAAGUUGUUGCAGUUAAAAGCUCGUAGUUGGAUUUCUGGUUGAAGCGACCGGUCGGGCGUUGAUUCGUCUGCACUGGAGUCGGUUUUGGCCAUCCUCUAGGAAAGUGCGUCUGGUAUUAAGUUGUCGGGCGUAUGAUCCUGGUCUUUUACUGUGAAAAAUUAGAGUGUUUAAAGCAGGCCUUCGCCUUGAAUACAUUAGCAUGGAAUAAUAAGAUAGGACUUUGGUCUAUUUUGUUGGUUUGUCAGACCGAAGUAAUGAUUAAUAGGGAGUAGUUGGGGGUAGGUUUAUUAUUCCUACUUGUUCAGAAGGUGGAAAUUACUUUGGUAGUUAAACGGUAAAGGAAUGAACUAA